This 468-nucleotide ribosomal RNA is filed under the name Blastocystis sp. RNAcentral describes it as "SSU rRNA". It matches the Rfam family "Eukaryotic small subunit ribosomal RNA", at positions 460 to 942 of the family's 1831-position model. The record is from RNAcentral. Lineage: Eukaryota; Bigyra; Opalinata; Blastocystidae.
GGAGGUAGUGACAAUAAAUCACAAUGCGGGACUAUUAGUUUUGCAAUUGGAUUGAGAACAAUGUAAAAGAGUUAUCGAUAAACAAUUGGAGGGCAAGUCUGGUGCCAGCAGCCGCGGUAAUUCCAGCUCCAAUAGCGUAUAUUAACGUUGUUGCAGUUAAAAAGCUCGUAGUUGAAGUGUGGGGUGAAAAAAUUGGUAAUCUUUUUGAUUGCUUAUUUGCUCACCCCCUCUCCAAUUUGUUAUUAUGGGUAUUAAUUUACUUGUAGUAGCUGUUGGUCAUUUACUGUGAGAAAAUUAGAGUGUUCAAAGCAGGCAUUUGCUUGAAUAUAUUAGCAUGGAAUAAUAGUAAAAGGCUUUUGUGGUCGAUUUAAUUGGUUUGUUCAUAAAAGCAAGAUUAAUAGGGACAGUUGGGGGUAUUCAUAUUCAAUAGUUAGAGGUGAAAUUCUCGGAUUUAUGGAAGAUGAACAA